GAUGAACGCUGGCGGCGUGCCUAAUACAUGCAAGUCGAGCGAACGGACGAGAAGCUUGCUUUUCUGAUGUUAGCGGCGGACGGGUGAGUAACACGUGGAUAACCUACCUAUAAGACUGGGAUAACUUCGGGAAACCGGAGCUAAUACCGGAUAAUAUUUUGAACCGCAUGGUUCAAAAGUGAAAGACGGUCUUGCUGUCACUUAUAGAUGGAUCCGCGCUGCAUUAGCUAGUUGGUAAGGUAACGGCUUACCAAGGCAACGAUGCAUAGCCGACCUGAGAGGGUGAUCGGCCACACUGGAACUGAGACACGGUCCAGACUCCUACGGGAGGCAGCAGUAGGGCAUCUUCCGCAAUGGGCGAAAGCCUGACGGAGCAACGCCGCGUGAGUGAUGAAGGUCUUCGGAUCGUAAAACUCUGUUAUUAGGGAAGAACAUAUGUGUAAGUAACUGUGCACAUCUUGACGGUACCUAAUCAGAAAGCCACGGCUAACUACGUG
RNAcentral lists this ribosomal RNA (497 nucleotides) under uncultured bacterium. RNAcentral's name for it is "partial 16S ribosomal RNA". It matches the Rfam family "Bacterial small subunit ribosomal RNA", at positions 28 to 507 of the family's 1533-position model. The record is from RNAcentral.